RNAcentral lists this ribosomal RNA (400 nucleotides) under uncultured bacterium. Its description in RNAcentral is "bacterial SSU rRNA". It matches the Rfam family "Bacterial small subunit ribosomal RNA", at positions 355 to 769 of the family's 1533-position model. The record is from RNAcentral.
UGGGGAAUAUUGGGCAAUGGGGGAAACCCUGACCCAGCGACGUCGCGUGAGGGAAGAAAUCCUUUGGGAUGUAAACCUCUGUUGUACGGGAAGAAUUAAGUGACGGUACCGUACGAGGAAGCCCCGGCAAACUACGUGCCAGCAGCCGCGGUAAUACGUAGGGGGCGAGCGUUGUCCGGAAUUACUGGGCGUAAAGCGCACGCAGGCUGAUUGUUAAGUCGGUUGUAAAAGACUUGGGCUUACCCCAAGCAGGUCGACCGAUACUGGCAGUCUUGAGUGUGAGAGAGGAAAGUAGAAUUCCCGGUGUAGCGGUGAAAUGCGUAGAUAUCGGGAGGAAUACCAGUGGCGAAGGCGGCUUUCUGGCUCACAACUGACGCUCAGGUGCGAAAGCUAGGGUAGC